Molecule: non-coding RNA, 78 nt
Organism: Parelaphostrongylus tenuis
Lineage: Eukaryota; Metazoa; Nematoda; Chromadorea; Rhabditida; Metastrongylidae
Source: the annotation of a GenBank genome assembly
GCGUCGGUAGUGCAACGGUUGAGCACGCUUCCCCCCCCCGAUAGGGUGAAGUGUGGGUUCGAAAUUCCACCUGACGCA